This is a long non-coding RNA of Alligator mississippiensis (American alligator), 5731 nucleotides long. RefSeq lists it as uncharacterized. The transcript is spliced from 2 exons. The record is from RefSeq and is a predicted model, not a curated record. Lineage: Eukaryota; Metazoa; Chordata; Crocodylia; Alligatoridae.
CACAGCGUCGGGCUCCGAGUUCAGCGCCAGAGGGCUCCCAUUGGCUGCGCCGCCCCACGUGACCCGGGCCAGGCACGAGACGCAGCCGGGCACGCGCCGCCGCGAACGUUAGGGGAGUUGGGCGGCGGUUAGGUGGGGAGCUUAGCGGGGGAGGGAGGGAGGACCACAACAACGUCACAUCACAUCACAUCACGUCCCUCUUCCCUUCCCCGUGCGCUGCCUCGACUCCCGCCGCUUCCCCCGCGGGAGAAACGCGCAGGGACUGAGGGGACUAGCUGCUCGUGCAACCCCGGGAGAGGGCGGGGCGCGGCUGGCGAGGCGCAUGCGCGGAGCGGCAGCUCUGUUCUUGGCCGCUGCGACUGGAACAUUCUGGAAAUGGCGGCGGCGGCGGAGACGAGGCUGCGGGAGUCCCGGAGAGGGAAAGAGGGGGCGGAAGUGGAGCACUUCGGCUCCUACCUCCCUCCUCCCCCUCAGAAACGGGAACGGAGUAGCCGAGGCGUCCCAGGGAGCCGCUCGUCCGCGCCGCCCCCUCCCCGGGGAGGGGUUUUUCCUGCGGCGAUGGCGCAGGGAGUUUUAACAACUGGCGCAGUGCGCAUGCGCAGGUGGCCACGCUGCAGCCUAUUGCCGGUGGGGGCAGGCGGCGGGGGCGCCCUGGGGCGUGGAGGUGUAUCAUGACCCUCGGCGCGGCCGGGUCUUAAAUACGAAAUGAUCCUAUUUCCUGGAAAACUACUGUACACCGAAAAAAAAGGUGCAGCUGCCAACUUCCUCUAGAGCUCAACCAAUCCAGUACCUUAACAGUACCGCUGAUUUGGCAUCAACCUUGAAAACCUCUGUUACCCUGAAAACCUCUUACCUGCUGCAUAAAGUACUAUUACCGGUUUGGACAAAUGUGUCUAGAUUGGCAUGCACAUUAUCUGAUGCCUCGUGCUGAAUUAAAAAUGCUAAACAACUGAUGGGGCAAUUACAAACAGUAUAAUAAAAAGGCCAACAAUAAAAAUGUUAUUGUAAGAAAUUACAUACUGGACACUACAUAACCAAGCACAUGCUACAUUUUAUCUAUAUUGGCACACCAAGGAGUCAGGGAACCUAAUUAGCAUUCUGUUCAGAUCUCAGUAGAAUCUUAUUUUCAUUCAGUCUUACUAUUCCCUAUACAACAAUUAAGUUCUGGAUGGCUAUGGAUACUUUACAAACACACACACACACACGCGCGUGCGUUCUGGAUGGAUGGAUAUUAGUAGUGGCUGCAGCGCAAGUCAUGAGGAUCAGGGGAAUGCACUUCCCAUAUCAGCAGUUGUUUGACUUGACUUUUGCUACUAGAAAUCUAGUGGCAACUUCAACUAAUCUUCCCUCAGACCCUUGAGAGUUACAUUGCAGGGGUGGGGGGAGGCAACAAAGCAGUCAGUGCCUCCAUAGUACAGUUUUCUCAGCCAUCCCCCUUGUCUGGAAAUUAAUUUUUUUCUUGGACCCCACAAAAAUGUUUUCAAAGGGGCCAUAUGCCCUGUAAUAGGUAAUACUAAUUACUCUAGUUAAAAUGUUCCUUCCCCAUAUACCUCACAUGGGUGAAUUCUAAAUCUGGUUGAAGGAGAGACCCUUGCAAAAAGGUAUUGGAAUCUGAAACUGAACUGAAAUUGUUACUUCUGGUAUUUUCCUUGCUAUUUCAAGAAAUGUCUGCCUAUUGCAACAGUCAUUACUUGUUUUGCAUUUAACACAUCUCCUCCACUGUGGUUGUCCAAUGAUAACCAGCAGCUGAUAUGGAAUCUUUUAACCACUCUAUAUACUCCUUCAUCAGAAUGAAUAUAAACACUAAUAAGGUAUAGGAUUCAUAAAGCUAUCACUAAUACACAUUACAGAUAUCCUAGUGAGGGUAAGGAAAUGAAACAGCAAGGAAAACUUAAUUUCUGGGCACAUAACAAAACUUAGAUCUCAUGUUAAGGUCUGUGAACAAAGUAAGACAUAGGUGUGAGAGACUAGACUAAUUCAAGCAACAAAAUAGGGGAAAUGUUGGCUACUAUUUCUGGAAUCAGGAAAAGAGAACAAUGAGAGACCAGUAGUCCCAAAAGGAAUUCUAGUAUUAGAAAAGCCUGCAUCUGUCUGUCUGUCCGUAAUGCUUUAGUCAUGCUCUGAUUGGCUGACAAAUAGCCAAUCAGAGCAUGAAGAAGCAUUCUGACAGAAGGCAGCGUGCUGCCAUGAUGGUGGGGACACGGUAUGAAGUGCAAACUACAGGUCAUACCAAUAUAUGCAACAGAUUCCAGGGCAAAAUUGUUAGCCUUUGCAGGAACUACUAAAGUCACCUCCUUCUACAUAUAGGUUAUGUAUGCAAAUAUGGUUGCAUUUAAUCACCAAGUUGUUACAAGUGAACAAUUUAACCCUUUUUGUUUUCACUUGCAUGCUGAAAACUGGAAAUGAAACAGUAUUAAAAAUUAACUCACUAUAGUGUAUCUGGUGAUUGUAUUUCAUUUGUAUUUAAUUCAGUAAAGCCUGUGUAUUUUCCUUUAAGUAAGGCAGCUACAGAAUCUCCAAUGAUUUUUCUCCUAUCUUAAGUCUGCUGCAAAGCACACAUGUGGCAGCCCUUUCAGCGGACACACUUAAAGAGAGUUAAUUGAGAGAAAAGAGAAGACACAGAAUGGGCACACAGGUCCAAAUGUACCUCCUGAACAUAAAAUAUAUUUAAAUUGCUUAUAUCCUUUGAUUAUAAUGUGCACUUUUCGUAUACCUUCUUAUACAUUCUUUAUUGCAAAACAACAUAAUGCCUGCCCACUAUGCAAUCCCUGACCACACAUCCAGCUAACUAACUAGCCGAGAUAUCCAACUUAUUAGGGUAUUUGCUGCAUUGUUCCAGUGGACUAUUCCACAUAUUUGGGCACAGUUAUUCUAGCUGAUCAAAGGAAUACAGAAAAAUCUUCCACAUUUUAAAGUUAUACUCGCUAUUCUCUCUCUCAGGACCUGAAAACAAAUGUCUGGCCAUUCUGCUGUCAUGGUUUGGACCAUAACCCCCCCCCCCCCCCCAAAACACCUCAGUACUUAGAAUCUGAGUAUUGUAUGGAACCAGAAGGAAAGGAAGCUAGAAAAUGCACUUAUGACCACCACCGAAAAACUAUAAUUAACUGUUUUUCCAUUUGCUAGUUACCUUGGAUGUUUUUGCCACUCACUUUCCAAAACUGCCAUGUUGGUCUUUUUUGAAAAAGUCUUGGAUACAGCCCCAACAACUAAAGACUUACAGAUUUUUUGUCUUUUCUCAUAGCGGGCUUGACUCCUUAAUAAGCGUGUGAUACCUCCCAGAAGCAACUGUUUUCAGAGAUCAUCAUCAUGAGCUUUAGAAUAAGGGCUCAUAAGAUACAGCAUUGCAGUUGCUCUAGUAGAGUUCAAAUGGAGAACUCAAGCUUAAGCAUCACACAAAACUGGAUUGCUAGUGUGGCACACUGGACCACUGGCACUUCACCAGUUAUGGACCACUUACCACUAAUUUGGCUUUUCGAUGUAGAAAAAUCCUGAAACAAGUCACUUUACUCAAAUUGCUUUUUUAUAAAAAAAAAGUGCUUGCUUUUUAAGGGCUAAUAUUUGAAAGUAUUUGAAGAUUAUUAUUAAAGUAGUACUAGAUAACUGCAAGUUACAAAGUUACAACUUGCACAGCUACUACAAGAACACAUCAUACAGAUAACACUGAAAAUACUACCACUGCAAAGGUUCUUUAUGGCAGCAUUCAUGGAAACUAAAAGGUGAUGAGGUUUAUUUUUUUAAAGUAUAAAAAUUUAUAUUUGAAAAGGGAAAAAUAUACUACUAUAGCACCAUAUACAAUUUAUUUCAAGCAAUAUAAGUUAUGACAUGCCACUUGACUUUGUGAGUGUUGUGGUCAGAACAUAUGCUGUGGACCUUGUCAUAACAGCAGUUGCACAAAGAACAUCAGGAAAUGCAGUAUAUGUUGAGGUCACUAACUUGCCUUUACACGUUUUCAGGAGGCAUACACUAUGUUUGGGACUGCUGCAGGGAAUGAAUAGCUUGCUAAAUUUCUGAAGCCAAGAAAAUAGACAUUUUUCAACAUUUAAUUAGGGUUUUAUAUGGGAUAGGGAAAUAAUUUUAGUAUAAUUGUGUGCUAUGAUAGUUAACUAUUUUUGUUUCACUGGUUUUUGCACUUACGUAGAAAGCUGGAGACUACCAUAUAGAUGAUUGAUUUCAGAAAAGGUAUGCUAUUUGUCAUAACUUUCUCCUCAAUUGGAAAUAUGGUAUAGGGAGUAAUUUUAAAUCUUUUAGUAGGAAGACCACAUUCGUACUGAAACUAUUCCAUAGGCCAUCUUUCUUUCCUGUUCAUGAUCGUGGAAAACAGUUCUUCUACCAAAUGCAUACACCAUCAUAACAGGUUACACUAAUAUUUUAUGAAGAAAUAAACUGCAUAGUGUUAUUCUGUUGACUAAAAUACCAAAAAACCAUCUGACAGCUAGAUAGAUAAAAAAAGCCCAGGUCAAAAAGAAAAAGAUGCUAUUACCAGUCUCCUGCUCAUUAACAGUGACAGCAAACACAAAACAAUGAGAUCAGAGAUGAAUCACAAGAUUAAUAAGAAAACAAAAGUAAAAGGGCCAACUUGACUAUCUAGCCAACUACUCACCCAGGUCCAAAAGAGUUACAGGACCAGGACUUUCAGAUGGUCUCAAAUUGAAAAUGUAAGCCAUGUUAUGAACACUAUUAAAGAUUCACACUUCAAUUAAUAUUUGUCUUAAUUUUGAAUGCAGUUGUCAACAUGGACUCCAAGAACAGUUAUAUUCAUAAUUUUAAAGGUUUGUAGCACACUUUGUUCUUAAAUAAUAGCUUCUCCAAAAGGUCUGUGUCAAUUUCCAGUCUGUUUUACAGCACUUAAAAGCCUCAGGCCUUGGCUUGUCUGGCAGCGCUGCUCACCCAUGUCUGCCAACUCCUAAACUGAACACUGGGCAGGCAGACACGGGUGGUCAGAACCCUUCACCUGGGCCUAGCCACACACCCACUCCCUUCCAUGGACCAAAGGACUGACAUUUCAUAUAGCAAAAUUAAGAUGCAUUAUAAAAAUAUCUUGCACACCAUCCUCUAACUGCACACUUUGACUGUGGUCGAUAAUAAAUUUGGACAGAAGGUGUUUUUUUUAUGCAUUAUUACUUAAUAUAUCAUUGGAGACCAGCUGUUCUAUGUGUGCAUUCCACUUAUAUUUUCCUGUACCUUUAAAAGGCCAUCUCUGGUUCUUCAUAACAUGGCAUUAUUGAGAAUUAAACGUGUCUUUACUUAAUCCAACAAAUGUUUAAAAAGCGGUUUAAAUAAAAAGAAUGAUAUGUCCAUAAAGCAUUUCUACUAUAGUAACACAUAAUAAAGGGAAGUUACGUAUGGGGAAAAAAUUGUUUCCAGUGUAUCUGAGUGUGUGCCAGCACUAGGUAUGCAGCUAAUUAGUCAGCUUCUCCCUCACUGAAAGAACCUUUAUAAAUAAAAGAUCAGGGAAACUCACAAAAGUACUUUGACAGGAAUUGUUACAUAUUAUGAUGCUUUAUCAUAAACUACUUCUUCCCUUCCACCAAACUGGUUACUUAGGGUUUGCCCUACUGCAGUGGGUUAGAAAUCUGAAGAUGGUGAUUUUAGCAUUUUGUAUUGUUAACUGUAUUUUACUGCUGUUGCUAUCCUACCUUUUAAAAAAGGUUCAAACAUAUCAUAAUGGUCGUUUAAUGAGUGGAAAGUAGUUUUAUUAUUCUAAUACAAUUUGUGAUUUUAUAAUUUAUUA